Oxyura jamaicensis (ruddy duck) is the source of this 1567-nucleotide long non-coding RNA. RefSeq lists it as uncharacterized. The transcript has 3 exons. NCBI's taxonomy places the organism in Eukaryota, Metazoa, Chordata, Aves, Anseriformes, Anatidae. The record is from RefSeq and is a predicted model, not a curated record.
CCAUUUCUGAUGUUCAGUUUUACUGGAAUCAAUGUGUUCCCAUGAAAAAAAAUUAAUUUGGCACAUUUUAUGACAAAAAGAUGUGUUUCCUUAGAUCUUUAACUAGCUUUAGACUUCAGCAAAAAACAUGCAAUUAAUCAAAAGGCAAUCCAAAAGAUGGCUCUUUGUAGUGCCAGUAAGGCUACUAAAUGGUGUGUGUGUUGCAAUUACAAUCAGGCAGAGCAAUUACACUCAAAAAUAAUAAGGACAGUUACUUGUACAAAAUUGAAAUUCACUGAUUUUCCAUGCUCCUUCAUACAGGAUCCAGAGCAUGUUGGGUUCAGGGAAAUCAGUUCAUGUACAUUAUUUUUUUUUUAUAUAAAAUACUCAAAAGGUUGAGCAUCAGGGAAGAUAAUGACAGAAUGAUGUCAGUUUCAUAGGAAUACUCCUUGCAUUUUGAAGAAAAGUAAACGUAGAGAAAUAAAACUGAAAAUAUAUAAAUAAGAAAAGACAUCUUCCCGUUGCUCUUAAAAAUUUAUUACAAAACAAAACAAUCAAGAAGCGUGCUGCAAAAAAAGAGUUUCUUAGGUAAUGCCUGGGUCAGUCCAGAAGGAGACCUGUGGAUUUCUGCAGGAAGGCUGGUUACAGACAUGUAAGCAAGGGUCAGUGAGGUCCAUCUAUCUCCGUAUCAUAUCUCUGAUGAGAGCAAGGGAAGGAUUCUUAAGAAGCAUUUUAACAACAGCACCUGUAAGGUCUGACACAGCUCCAGGUAUAUUCUCAUUUCUUUUCCAAGCUGGACAGUCCCUGGGUCAUUUGUCUUCUCCGUGUACGAUAAUCAUCCAUCCUUCUCAGCCUUUUCUGCUCAUUUUCUAGGACUACUACACAGUCUGUGAGAUGGGUGGUACUACCACUUCCUGUACUAAAGGUACCAGAGAGUCAAUUAAACUUGGUGAAAAGGAACAAGUGACUGCAAUGAGUCUUUGGAUCCAGCUUGCUUUUAUGUAAUAAAAUUGAAAGAAACAUCAAGCAGUUAUAUCAACAUCAGGAACAGCAAGAGCAAUAAAAAUCAACUGGAAAGUACCAGGUAAGUACAAAUUACGAUGAUGACAGCUUUUUGGUUAGACUAGAAAAAGAGUGGUAAAGAACCAUACGUUGUAUCUUCUGUGCCAUGGAAAUUCUGUGCAACUGCACUGUGUAUAAAUUCACUUUGUCCUUAAUUCACUCAAUAUCUCAGUAGCACAGCAUUUUGCUAUGGGUAGUUAGAUGUGUUCUAUGUACCAAGAACAAAAGAACAAGCUCUGAAUGUAUGGAUUUUACUUGGUAUUUCUGCUGCAUUGAACACAGAUUAGAAAGCUACCAUAACAAGAUAAAAAUCUGCUUAUCUUUUUGUUUUGUUUGUUUGUUUGUUUAGGCAGAGUUUCAGAAGCUCAUAGCAGUUUGCAUGAUGUUAUUUAUCCAUCCAUCUUUACAACAAUCCACUUGCUAAUUAAAAACAUUUCUGCCUACAACCACACUCAAAUCAAAGAGCUUUAAGUAUUUAUCAUCUGCAGAUUAUUCUGCAGUUUGUGUAAAAUUAAUUGGGUCUAGU